AUUGAACGCUGGCGGCAGGCCUAACACAUGCAAGUCGAGCGGAUGAAGGGAGCUUGCUCCUGGAUUCAGCGGCGGACGGGUGAGUAAUGCCUAGGAAUCUGCCUGGUAGUGGGGUAUAACGUCCGGAAACGGGCGCUAAUACCGCAUACGUCCUGAGGGAGAAAGUGGGGGAUCUUCGGACCUCACGCUAUCAGAUGAGCCUAGGUCGGAUUAGCUAGUUGGUGGGGUAAAGGCCUACCAAGGCGACGAUCCGUAACUGGUCUGAGAGGAUGAUCAGUCACACUGGAACUGAGACACGGUCCAGACUACUACGGGAGGCAGCAGUGGGGAAUAUUGGACAAUGGGCGAAAGCCUGAUCCAGCCAUGCCGCGUGUGUGAAGAAGGUCUUCGGAUUGUAAAGCACUUUAAGUUGGGAGGAAGGGCAGUAAGUUAAUACCUUGCUGUUUUGACGUUACCAACAGAAUAAGCACCGGCUAACUUCGUG
Molecule: ribosomal RNA, 484 nt
Filed under: uncultured bacterium
Lineage: Bacteria
Description: partial 16S ribosomal RNA
Rfam family: Bacterial small subunit ribosomal RNA
Source: RNAcentral